Macrobrachium nipponense is the source of this 317-nucleotide long non-coding RNA. RefSeq lists it as uncharacterized. The transcript is spliced from 3 exons. NCBI's taxonomy places the organism in Eukaryota, Metazoa, Arthropoda, Malacostraca, Decapoda, Palaemonidae. The record is from RefSeq and is a predicted model, not a curated record.
GAGAUAUAGAAGAGGUCCAGAGAACCCACAUCUGCUCCGGAGAAGUUGAAGUCUUCAAACGAACCGGUCUCUGCUACAGAUUCUCAUAAAUUUUUUGUUCGGGAUCGUUUUAUCAGCUACGUUUCCGAGCAUCAUGAAAUGGAACGCAGCCGCCCUUUCUGUUGUGGCCCUUAUGGCCUCACCCGUCGCAGCGUCGUUGGAGGAGUCUGCAGGAGUUGGACUAAGGACCCACUCGAGGGUGGAGAGAGACUAUAGCUAUGGAGGACGAACAGAAGGCUAUGGAGGAACAGGCAGUGGAGCGGAUGGGGGAUAUGGAG